GACGAACGCUGGCGGCGUGCUUAACACAUGCAAGUCGAACGGAAAGGCCCUGCUUUUGUGGGGUGCUCGAGUGGCGAACGGGUGAGUAACACGUGAGUAACCUGCCCUUGACUUUGGGAUAACUUCAGGAAACUGGGGCUAAUACCGGAUAGGAGCGCCUGCUGCAUGGUGGGGGUUGGAAAGUUUCGGCGGUUGGGGAUGGACUCGCGGCUUAUCAGCUUGUUGGUGGGGUAGUGGCUUACCAAGGCUUUGACGGGUAGCCGGCAUGAGAGGGUGACCGGCCACAUUGGGACUGAGAUACGGCCCAGACUCCUACGGGAGGCAGCAGUGGGGAAUAUUGCACAAUGGGCGGAAGCCUGAUGCAGCAACGCCGCGUGCGGGAUGACGGCCUUCGGGUUGUAAACCGCAUUCGCCUGUGACGAAGCGUGAGUGACGGUAAUGGGUAAAGAAGCACCGGCUAACUACGUG
This 468-nucleotide ribosomal RNA is filed under the name uncultured bacterium. Its description in RNAcentral is "partial 16S ribosomal RNA". It matches the Rfam family "Bacterial small subunit ribosomal RNA", at positions 28 to 507 of the family's 1533-position model. The record is from RNAcentral.